Molecule: ribosomal RNA, 216 nt
Filed under: Trogoderma granarium
Lineage: Eukaryota; Metazoa; Arthropoda; Insecta; Coleoptera; Dermestidae
Description: partial large subunit ribosomal RNA
Source: RNAcentral
UAAGUAAUUUUGACUGUGCGAGGUAGCAUAAUAAUUAGUUUCUUUAUUGGGAACUGGAAUGAAUGGUUGGACGAAAUGAUUACUGUCUCUUUUUUAUUUUGAUGAAUUUUACUUUUGAGUUAAAAGGCUCAAAUUUUUUUAAAAGACGAGAAGACCCUAUAGAGUUUUAUUAUUUCUUUAAWUKUUAAAUUGUUAGUAUAGAAAUUUUCAAUUUUA